RNAcentral lists this ribosomal RNA (620 nucleotides) under Cyclommatus mniszechi. RNAcentral's name for it is "eukaryotic LSU rRNA". It matches the Rfam family "Eukaryotic large subunit ribosomal RNA", at positions 665 to 1244 of the family's 3401-position model. Lineage: Eukaryota; Metazoa; Arthropoda; Insecta; Coleoptera; Lucanidae. The record is from RNAcentral.
ACCAAGGAGUCUAGCAUGUGCGCGAGUCAUUGGGAUAUAACUAAACCUAAAGGCGAAAUGAAAGUGAAGGUCAGCCUCGCGCUGACCGAGGGAGGAUGGGCCGCCUUGCGGCGGCCCCGCACUCCCGGGGCGUCUCGUUCUCAUCGCGAGAGGAGGCGCACCCAGAGCGUACACGCUGGGACCCGAAAGAUGGUGAACUAUGCCUGGUCAGGACGAAGUCAGGGGAAACCCUGAUGGAGGUCCGUAGCGAUUCUGACGUGCAAAUCGAUCGUCGGAACUGGGUAUAGGGGCGAAAGACUAAUCGAACCAUCUAGUAGCUGGUUCCCUCCGAAGUUUCCCUCAGGAUAGCUGGCGCUCGCCGCGCGCGAGUCUCAUCCGGUAAAGCGAAUGAUUAGAGGCAUUGGGGUCGAAACGGCCUCAACCUAUUCUCAAACUUUAAAUGGGUGAGAUCUCCGGCUUGCUCGAACACGUGAAGCCGCGAGAUUUCGGAUCAGAGUGCCAAGUGGGCCACUUUUGGUAAGCAGAACUGGCGCUGUGGGAUGAACCAAACGCAGAGUUAAAGCGCCCAAAUCGACGCUUAUGGGAUACCAUGAAAGGCGUUGGUAACUUAAGACAGCAGG